AUGGACGCAGCAGAAGAGACGAGAUUACUGCUCCAAGAGGAUGGGGAUCAGCAGGAUGCAAGUCUUUACACAGGUGAUGGGUCCGUUGACAUCAAAGGCCGUCCCGCAACAAGGCGCGACACAGGCAAUUGGCGAGCAUGCGUCUUCAUCCUAGGAAAUGAGUGUUGUGAGCGUCUGGCCUACUAUGGAAUUGCAAAAAACCUAGUCACUUAUCUCAAAAUAAAGCUUCAUCAAGGCAAUCUUGAAGCUGCAAGAAAUGUUACCACUUGGCAAGGGACAUGCUAUCUGUCUCCCCUCAUUGGAGCCAUCCUAGCAGAUUCUUAUUGGGGAAAGUACUGGACUAUUGCUGUUUUCUCAUCAAUUUAUUUCAUCGGCCUGGCUGUUUUAACGCUUUCAGCAUCACUUCCAGCACUUCAACCACCUUCAUGUUUAGGAACUGUUUGUCCAGAACCAAGCUUACUUCAGAAUGGCACGUUUUUCCUAGGUCUUUAUAUGAUUGCCCUAGGGACUGGAGGUAUUAAACCAUGUGUGUCAUCCUUUGGGGCUGAUCAAUUUGAUGACAGUGAUCCGACAGAGAGAGUAAAGCAGGGCUCCUUCUUCAACUGGUUCUAUUUCUGCAUAAAUAUCGGUGCAUUCAUAUCAGGCACUGUUAUUGUUUGGAUACAAGAUAACUCGGGUUGGGGAAUAGGAUUUGCCAUUCCUACUAUAUUUAUGGCAUUGGCUAUUGCAAGCUUCUUUUCAGCUUCAGAUAUGUAUAGAUUUCAGAAACCUGGUGGCAGUCCACUCACAAGAGUGUGUCAGGUCGUUGUCUCAGCAUUCCGUAAGUGGCAUGUUGAAUUGCCACAUGACACUGCUCUUUUAUAUGAAGUUGAUGGUCAAAAUUCAGCAAUAGAGGGAAGCAGGAAGCUGGAGCACACAACCGAACUUGAAUUCCUUGACAAGGCUGCCAUCAUCUCAUCUACUGAUGCCAAGAGUGACCUCAUUACAAACCCAUGGAGGCUAUGCACAGUCACCCAGGUGGAAGAACUGAAGAUCCUAGUAAGAAUGUUCCCGGUCUGGGCGACUACUAUCAUAUUCAAUGCGGUGUACGCUCAGAACUCUUCCAUGUUCCUAGAGCAGGGAAUGGUUCUCGACAAGCGGGUCGGGUCUUUCAAUGUUCCUCCUGCGUCCCUCUCGAGCUUUGACGUAAUCAGUGUCAUGAUCUGGGUUCCGCUUUAUGACCGUGUUCUCAUACCUAUAGCCAGAAAGUUCACUGGAAGGGAAAAGGGUUUCUCAGAACUACAACGGAUUGGCAUUGGAUUGGUGCUGUCCAUUAUUGCAAUGGUGUCUGCAGCUUUUGUUGAGUUGAAGCGCUUGGAGAUUGCCACAUCUGAAGGUCUUAUCCAUGAGAAGUCUGCGGUUCCAAUGAGCAUUCUUUGGCAAAUACCACAGUAUUUCCUUGUUGGCGCUGCCGAGGUUUUCACUAAUAUAGGUCUACUUGAGUUUUCGUACGAUCAGGCACCAGAUGCCAUGAGGAGUUUAUGUACUGCAUUUGCGCUCGUCAUGGUCUCAGCGGGGAGCUAUUUAAGCUCAUUCAUAUUGACCCUGGUGUCGUAUGUUACAACUCGAGGUGGAGAUCCUGGAUGGAUCCCGGAUAACAUGAAUGAAGGCCAUCUUGACCGGUUCUUUUGGUUGAUUGCAGGGAUCAGCUUUGUGAAUUUGCUGGUUUACAUCAGUUGUGCGAUGAAAUACAAAUAUAAGAAUGUGUGA
Molecule: ribosomal RNA, 1749 nt
Filed under: Triticum aestivum (bread wheat)
Lineage: Eukaryota; Viridiplantae; Streptophyta; Magnoliopsida; Poales; Poaceae
Description: partial small subunit ribosomal RNA
Source: RNAcentral